GUGUGUGAUGAAGUUGGAAGUAACAUUAGACAAGGAAGAGUUAGUCAUCUAGAUAAGUCUUCAAGCAUAGCUGGAUAUUCUACUUUACUUUCAAACUCCAACGGGAAACUGACAUUAGAACAACGUUGUCAAAGGAACAUCAAACGAAAGUCAGGAGAUAUAACGUUACUUCUUUCCCACGUGGACAGAAACGUGCUAGCUAGCUACUGUAGCCUUUCACCUGAAUCAGGUCAUCUAACUGAACUAUAUCAGUCUUGACAUUGACUUCAUUUCUGUUGUUGUCAUCGUGAGCAGGACAAUAUGAGUGGAGAGAGGGAAACGUUGAUGGAUGAAAUGGAACAGAGUUUAUACACUUUAAUCAACGACAAUUUACGCUGCCUGUGUGAACGCAGUGGAAUAGGUGGCAAGAAUGGCUCUGAUGUUCAAGGAAAGAAUCUCCAUCACUCAUUGUGCCGUAAAAUCCUGGAGGAACUUUGGGAAAAUGCAGAUUCAAUGGAAUCGGAGGAGCAGGGAAUGUCUUGGUUACUCCAACUGAAAGAGGACAUCAGGAAGAUACAGGAGGAGGGUAUCGGUGCACCUUUGAGUCCCAGCCAAUCCAUUGAGGAUGAUGAUGAAGAAUGGGAUGAGGACAGGGAUUUGUUGCCUAGCAAAGGGCUGGAGGCAGAACCAGCACCAGAGAGACACACAACAGAGCAGAGGGAGAAGAGAGUGAGUGGGUCCCCCUCUCUGUCCUCUCCUGGUAAUGCCUUACUGCAGGGUCUGAAGAGGGUGUGGCUGGUCAACUGCAGGAAAACACCAGGGUUGAGAGGAACUGCUGGAGGAGGAGACGAGGAGGAGGAAGGAGACGUGAUUCAUCAAAGAGAGAGACGUGGCAACCGUGGAUCUUCUGGGGAGCCUCAACAACAUCCUCAUCAUGCCGACGACCCAGACUGGAGUCUCGCCACAUCAAAACACUUCCACAAACAACCACAGAGACAUGCAGGGAAGAAACCUCACCACUGCUAAUGAUUGCGGAAAGAGUUUCAGUGUUUUAUCAGGCUUGAAAAUCCAUCAAAGCACCCACACCGAAAAUAAACCAUUCCAAUGCUCCAAGUGUGGGAAAGGUUUUGCAAACAACCACUAUCGAAAAAUACAUGAGAAAACAGUAUAUGAGCCUCCCACAGAAAGGUCUUACCACUGCUCUGACUGCGGGAAGAGCUACAGUUUUUUAUCAACCUUCAAAAACCAUCAAAGGAUACACACAGGAGAGAAACCAUUCCAAUGCUCCAAGUGCAAGAAAAGUUUUGCUCAGAAAUCCACUCUGAAAGCACACGAACAAACACACAUUCCUGCCGCAGAAAGGCCUUACCAAUGCUCCUACUGCGAGAAGAAGUUUUGUAUUUCGGCGAUCCUUUAAUUUCCAUAUGAGAAUGCAUACUGAAGAGAAACCAUUCCAAUGUUCAGACUGCGGAAUGCGGUUCAUUCAAGCCUAUUUACUGAAAUCACACAAGUUUAAACACAAGCCCACUGAAGAAAAGCCCUUCAGCUGCUCAGAAUGUGGUGCAGGUUUUGCCACGAAAGGUAGUCUCAAAUUUCACCAGCUGAUGCACAACCCAAGAGAGAGACCUUACCGCUGUUCUGAGUGUGGUCAUUGUUUCUUUCAUCUGAUAUAUCUGAAGAAACACCAGAAGAGACACAGUAAAGAGAAGUCCAUUGUCUGUGAGCUGUGCGGGAAGACCUUCAACCAUCCAAGCAACUUCAGAACGCACAUGAAGAUACACCGAGGAGUGAAACCGUACCACUGCUCCGACUGUGUCAGGAGCUUUAUAUUCCGCCAAGGUUUAACAAAACACCAGCGUGUGCACACCGGCGAGCUGCCUUACAUCUGCGAUCAAUGUGGGAGGAGGUUUUCUCAGUCCAAUUCUUUGGUGACUCACCAGCGAACACACACCGGAGUGAAACCUUACCCAUGCUUUGUCUGUGGGAAGAGCUUCAGUCGGUCACAAAACCUGGCUGCACACAAGAGAACUCAUACUGGAGAGAAGCCUCACGCCUGUGAUCAGUGCGGGAAGAGGUUUUCCCGAACCGACGCACUGGCUGUACACAAGCGCACUCACACUGGAGAGAAGCCUUACAGCUGUGAUAUAUGCAGGGAGACAUUCACCUAUUUAGUAGCCAUGUUGAAACAUAAGAAUGGACAUGGACGUCCUGCAGGUGAUGUACUCUGUGCUGAAUGUCCUCAGGACGAUUCCAGCUCUGUCUAUGAAUAGAGAACUUUGAUUAACUUGCAGAAGACCUCAAUUUGUUGUUUUACUUACAAUCUAACCCCCAGAGAGAGAGAGACACAAACACUCACACACGCAGACAAACCCAGAGGGCGGCAGGUAGCCUAGCGGUUAAGAGCGUUCGACCGGUAACCGAAAGAUCGCUCAUUCGAAUUCCUGAGUCAGCAAAGGUUAUAAGGAAUAAAAUCUGCUGUUCUGCCCUUGAGCUAGCCAGUUAGUACCCAACAACUGCUCCCUGGGCACAUAUGACGUGGAUUAAGGCAGCCCGCCGCACCUCUGUGAUUCAGAGGGUUUAGAUGUGGAAGGUUGAAGGCAUUUAGUUGUGCAACUGGCUAGUUAUCCCUCAUUUCCUUUCCACCCAGAGGAAUUGGGAGCACAGAGUGGUUACUGUGAGUUUUGAGAGUAGUUACUCUGGUCUUUGAGAGUGGUUACUGUGGUUUUUGAAAGCAAGGAUUGUGGCUUUAAAUAGUCUGAAAUCAUAAUGUUGUGUUGUAUACAUACACACCUGACAGGUGUAGGAUCAGGUUCCUCUCUCCCAAAUCCUAUCUUUUAGCAUUAGUGGGGAAAAUGCUAAACUGACACAAGAUCAGCAUCUAGGGGCAACUUCACCCUACACUUGCCCCUUCCCUGGGGGCUAUUCCAGAUAGCAGGUUCAUUGAGGUACUGUCCUAAAUAUUCUCUACUAUCCUAUUUUUUUUGGACAAAUAUAGACUUGAAAUUGGCAUAGUAGUGGUAGUACAUAUACAGGAAGGAGUGGCUUCCGUCUGGCCACUCUACCAUAAAGGAGUGCUUCAAUAAGCACUUCUCAACGGCUGGCCAUGCCUUCCGCCUGGCUACUCCAACCUCGGCCAACAGCUCCGCCCCCCCCGCAGCUCCUCGCCCAAGCCUCUCCAGGUUCUCCUUUACCCAAAUCCAGAUAGCAGAUGUUCUGAAAGAGCUGCAAAACCUAGACCCGUACAAAUCAGCUGGGCUUGACAAUCUGGACCCUCUAUUUCUGAAACUAUCUGCCGCCAUUGUCGCAACCCCUAUUACCAGCCUGUUCAACCUCUCUUUC
Long non-coding RNA from Oncorhynchus nerka (sockeye salmon), 3318 nucleotides. RefSeq lists it as uncharacterized. The transcript is spliced from 3 exons. The record is from RefSeq and is a predicted model, not a curated record. Lineage: Eukaryota; Metazoa; Chordata; Actinopteri; Salmoniformes; Salmonidae.